Molecule: ribosomal RNA, 253 nt
Filed under: uncultured bacterium
Lineage: Bacteria
Description: partial 16S ribosomal RNA
Rfam family: Bacterial small subunit ribosomal RNA
Source: RNAcentral
UACGUAGGGGGCUAGCGUUGUCCGGAUUUAUUGGGCGUAAAGGGCGCGUAGGCGGGAUGGCAAGUCGGUCGUGAAAUCCUUCGGCUCAACCGAAGAACGUCGAUCGAUACUGCUGUUCUUGAGGGUUGCAGAGGAGACUGGAAUUCCCGGUGUAGCGGUGAAAUGUGUAGAGAUCGGGAGGAACACCGGUGGCGAAGGCGGGUCUCUGGGCAAUUCCUGACGCUGAGGCGCGAAAGCGUGGGGAGCAAACGGG